CGCCUUCGUGUUGCCCGUUCGCCUUUACCCGCUGGCGGCCGUGGUGUCAAGCAAGGCGGACAUGGAGCGCUUGGCAGCCUUUUCCGGCCCGGAGGUUGGAUAUCUCCGACGCAGGACCUGCUCAAGCGACAGGC
Molecule: small nucleolar RNA, 134 nt
Organism: Ochotona princeps (American pika)
Lineage: Eukaryota; Metazoa; Chordata; Mammalia; Lagomorpha; Ochotonidae
Gene: SNORA13
Product: small nucleolar RNA, H/ACA box 13
Source: Ensembl